RNAcentral lists this ribosomal RNA (345 nucleotides) under uncultured bacterium. RNAcentral describes it as "bacterial SSU rRNA". It matches the Rfam family "Bacterial small subunit ribosomal RNA", at positions 8 to 334 of the family's 1533-position model. The record is from RNAcentral.
AGGGUUCGAUUAUGGCUCAGGAUGAACGCUGGCGGCGUGCCUAAUACAUGCAAGUCGAGCGAGAAGUCACAUUACUAAUUCUUCGGAAGAAGUAAAGUGAUGGAAAGCGGCGGACGGGUGAGUAACGCGUAGGCAACCUGCCUCUCACAGGGGGAUAGCCAUCGGAAACGGUGAUUAAUACCCCAUAAAGUCAAAAUAACACAUGUUAAACUGACCAAAGAUUUAUCGGUGAGAGACGGGCCUGCGUCUGAUUAACUAGUUGGUGAGGUAACGGCUCACCAAGGUGACGAUCAGUAGCCGACCUGAGAGGGUGAACGGCCACAUUGGAACUGAGACACGGUCCAA